This 216-nucleotide unclassified non-coding RNA is filed under the name uncultured Entrophospora. RNAcentral's name for it is "uncultured Claroideoglomus partial internal transcribed spacer 2". Lineage: Eukaryota; Fungi; Glomeromycota; Glomeromycetes; Entrophosporales; Entrophosporaceae. The record is from RNAcentral.
AAUAAUAAUUAUCAUGAAUCUUUGAUUUAUGGAAUUGGGCAUUUAUUUCGAUAGAUUUAUGGCCUUAAAUUUACGUUAUGGGCUUGUCAUUAUAAAAUCCGAUCUAAAGGAGCAAUUAAACAUUCUCUCAUUAGCGGAUUUUUACAAGCUGUUAUGAUUUUUGGUUGCUUUCAGCAUUUUUACGAGUGCGAAACCAAGAUCGUAAGUUUACUCUAA